This 460-nucleotide ribosomal RNA is filed under the name uncultured bacterium. RNAcentral describes it as "partial 16S ribosomal RNA". It matches the Rfam family "Bacterial small subunit ribosomal RNA", at positions 338 to 795 of the family's 1533-position model. The record is from RNAcentral.
CCUACGGGAGGCUGCAGUGAGGAAUAUUGGUCAAUGGACGAGAGUCUGAACCAGCCAAGUAGCGUGAAGGAUGACUGCCCUAUGGGUUGUAAACUUCUUUUAUAAAGGAAUAAAACGAGGCACGUGUGCCUUUUUGCAUGUAAUUUAUGAAUAAGGCAUGACUAACCCCGUGCCAGCAGCCGCGGUAAUACGGAAGAUCCGAACGUUAUCCGGAUUUUUUUGGUUUACAGGGAGCGUAGAUGGGUUUUUAAGUUCAGUGUGAAAGUUUGCGGCUUAACCGUAAAAUUGCAAUUGAUACUGGCAGUCUUGAGUAAAGUGGAGGUAGGCGGAAUUCGUGGUGUAGCGGUGAAAUGCUUAGAUAUCACGAAGAACCCCGAUUGCGAAGGCAGCUUACUAAACUGUGACUGACAUUGAUGCUCGAAAGUGUGGGUAUCAAACAGGAUUAGAUACCCUUGUAGUC